GUAAGCCAGGUUGGUUUCUAUCUUUUAAAAAUUUAAAUAUUUUAGUACGAAAGGAUCAAGUAUUUUAAUUAAAUUAUUAAAAUAUUUAUUUGAAUUUUAUUAAAAAUAAUUGUUAAAAAUAUUAAAAAUUGAAUAGUUAUAAUAAAAAUUUUUAAGUUAAAGUUAUUUAUUUAAUUUAAAUUAAGAAUUAAAA
This 193-nucleotide ribosomal RNA is filed under the name Dyscia malatyana. RNAcentral's name for it is "partial 16S ribosomal RNA". The record is from RNAcentral. Lineage: Eukaryota; Metazoa; Arthropoda; Insecta; Lepidoptera; Geometridae.